RNAcentral lists this non-coding RNA (91 nucleotides) under chicken gut metagenome. Its description in RNAcentral is "THF riboswitch". It matches the Rfam family "THF (Tetrahydrofolate) riboswitch aptamer". From Rfam's summary of the family: THF riboswitch presents a pseudoknot that joins P1-P2 and the loop of P3 and two THF binding. The record is from RNAcentral.
GCAGAGUAGCUGAGGCGCGUUAAGUGUUGCGAAACGGGACGUUGUUCGCAAACGAAAGGGGUUUCCCUGCGGUGCCGAAGCGCGUCCGUUG